ACGCCGUGCGGGCGGCGGGCGGCGACCUGGUCGGCCCAGGACCGUCCGGGGGUGAGCCGCCCGGCGCUCUCGCUGAGCACCACGCUCAGCCCGGCGUCCC
This 100-nucleotide transfer RNA is filed under the name Streptomyces galilaeus. RNAcentral describes it as "tRNA-Leu". The record is from RNAcentral. Lineage: Bacteria; Bacillati; Actinomycetota; Actinomycetes; Kitasatosporales; Streptomycetaceae.